RNAcentral lists this ribosomal RNA (591 nucleotides) under uncultured euryarchaeote. RNAcentral describes it as "bacterial SSU rRNA". It matches the Rfam family "Archaeal small subunit ribosomal RNA", at positions 851 to 1441 of the family's 1478-position model. The record is from RNAcentral. Lineage: Archaea; Methanobacteriati; Methanobacteriota.
GAAACUUAAAGGAAUUGGCGGGGGAGCACAGCAACGGGAGGAGCGUGCGGUUUAAUUGGAUUCAACGCCGGAAAACUCACCGGAGGCGACGGUUACAUGAAGGCCAGGCUGAUGACCUUGCCUGAUUUUCCGAGAGGUGGUGCAUGGCCACCGUCAGUUCGUACCGUAAGGCGUUCUGUUAAGUCAGAUUAACGAACGAGACCCUCAUCCUUAAUUGCUACUAAUGACCUCGGUUGUUAGGCACAUUAAGGAGACCGCUGACGAUAAGUCAGAGGAAGGCGAGGGCAACGGUAGGUCAGUAUGCCCUGAAUCCUCCGGGCUACACGCGCGCUACAAAGGCCAGGACAAUGGGUUUCGACACCGAAAGGUGGAGGUAAUCCCGAAACCUGGUCAUAGUUCGGAUUGAGGGCUGAAACUCGCCCUCAUGAAGCUGGAUUCCGUAGUAAUCGCGGAUCAACAUCCCGCGGUGAAUAUGCCCCUGCUCCUUGCACACACCGCCCGUCAAACCAUGCGAGUUGGGUUCAAGUGAGGAUGUAGUAUUUUUGCUGCGUUCAAACUUGGGCUUAGCAAGCGGGGGUUAAGUCGUAACAA